UUAAUAAUCACUCCUAUUCUCUUUGGUCUCUCACGGUUGAAUCAAACUCACUCGAUAUAUUAUCGCUAAGUCUAUUACUUGCUGAUAACAGAAACUCUGUCAAAAUAUAGUUCAAAAUAUAGUUUGCUAGCCUCCACCACCAACUUGGCUGAAACAUUUUCAUCCUGCAUUUCGAAAAGUAAGUAUCAAUCAUUGUCGGCAUGCACAAAGCAAGUCCAAAAAAUAUAAUCAUUUCGAACGAAUAAAUUACCUGGUCCCUCGUAUUCAAGGACUGUCCCAGUUGAUCAAUCUUGCCGGCAAAUGAUAAUGCCAGAGACUCGUCACUCUUUCCUGUUAUCAGCAAGUAAUAGAAUAAUAUAUCGGGUGAGUUUGAUUCAUCCCUGAGAGACCGAAGAGAAUAGGAGUGAUUAUUAAUCUUACUUGAAUGGUCAUAUUGCUCAACCAGUCGGUCCCUUUCCUCUGUCAAUUUGGAGAAAGUAUCUAUGCAAGUAGACGAAUGGUAUGAGGCGAAAGUAAUCGGACAAGCCAAAAACAAUCUACUGGUAAAUAUUCAAUUUUUCAACUAUUCUCAAAUUGCACAUCACAGUGAACAUAUGCGUAGAAGCAUGGUACCAUUGAAAGCCUGGUCAUGAGAAGCUUUGCACUUGACAAGUUCCUCAAAAAGUUGGUCCGCAUUCGCCUUCUCCUCGGCUAAUUUCUGUUCGCACUGCAUAUUAUGGACACAUCAGAUAAAAUCCUCACUGAGAAUCACUCCGUAAUAAAAUAUGAUGGUUUUACUCCUUUACCUCUCAAUUACUUGACACAAUCUAUGCAUCCCGGAUCAUGCCAUAGUACCUCGAAAAACAAAUGAGCGGUUGAGAUGCAAUUCUAGUGAUGUGCGUGAUUUCAAGAGACCCUAAUCGUUUUUUCGAUAAAGACAAUUCUUUGAAAUGCUUUGCGAGGCCAGAAAGUAUGGUACCUCAAAGGCUCUAAGUUGUUAUGAUCCUAAAAUGUACGAGUAUUCCUCCUGUGCGGGAUUUUCGAAAGCCAUGUUCCUGGGCGAUUAAGGGGUAACGGAACGGAAGAAUACCUCCCUGAUUUUAUUCAGAAGCGGGUCAUCCAACAAUUGGUUUUUUGAUGACUGGACGAUAAUUUGCUGCAAAUCGAGACGGUCAGGCAGUCAUUCGAAUUGGUUUUAUUGGUCCUGGUGCAAUGGGAUUGGGCAUGGCAACUCGCUUACUUAAGUCGAGUUACCGCAUUACCGGAUUGGAUGUAAUUUCUCUCCUCUAGCUUUCUCCACCGGUGGUUUGCUAGCUCAGAGCAGACAUUAGGCUGUUGAAUAUGUUACCGUCAUCUUAUAUUAGCUCUCGAUGCAUCUGUUUCUAUCCACAUGCACUGAUUUUAUCUUUUCAAAUUGCGUCUCCGAAAUAUCCUUAUCGUGAGAAUGAGAACUGUAAGGUUAUGGGGCCAUCAUCGAGUAUCCUCGAUGAUAGUAUACAACAGAAAUGCGGUGCUGUAAUUUUAGGAGUUAUUAGGGAAAAGUAAAUAUUUUGUCCACAAAGGCGUGAUUUCUUCAAUAUAAAUAUAAUAAUCUGUGUCUAUCAUAGGGAUUUUUAGAAGAUAAACGUGGAUCUAUCAAUCGCAUGUGUAUUAAUGCUCUCGAGGACUAUGUUUCCAUAUGCAUAAGUUGAUGUAUGUUGUUGUGCAUAGAUAAACAUUCCAGGCCAUCAUUUUGUUUUGGCCCAUGAAUAAUCUGGGGAUCUGGUAUGCUAUUUUCGGACGUUAACUAGGAGUACCUUUAUCUAUUGCGGGGCAGGUCUAUGAACCAACUCUUGUUCGGUUGGCAAAUGCAGGUGGCUUGGUUGGCAACUCUCUAGCAGAAGCAUCUAAGAUGUUGACCUACUCGUGAUCACGGUCACGAAUGAAGCUCCAGAAGAAAGUGUCCUUAUGUAGAUGUAGGUGCAAUUCCAGGGCUUCCAUCUGGUGCAUCCAUAAUUCUGUCAUGGACUGUUUCUCCUGGAUUCAUGACUCAGCUGGAACGAUGAUCGCAAAGUGAUGGCAAAGACCUGAAAUUGGUGGAUGCCGCUGUUUACGGUGGUGUCAAAAGAGCUGCUAAGGGAACACUUACGCUGAUGGCUUCCGGUAGUGAUGCUGCUCUUAAAAACGCUGGUUCAGCUCUCUCUGGUAUUUGGUAUUUUGUUCCAAUUACCAGAUGGGGAGGUUCAUAUCUCUGACUUGGAAAGGUUUCUAGACGAGUAAUACGUGCUGCUUUUCUGAUAUUGGCAUUAAGCGAAAAGCUUUAUAUUAUCAAAGGAGGUUGUGGGGCUGGAAGGAUGUUUAAAAAUCGCCUUCCACACAUGCUGGAUAAUGAUUACGCACCAUAGUCGGCACUCGAUAUAUUUGUGCAGGAUCCGGUACGGGAAAAGUGUCUUGCUCUUUGCAUUCUUUUGAAGAAUUGUGAAAUGCUAUACAGACACUUGUAAUUUCUCCAGGGCAUUGUUUCCCGUGAAUGUUCAUCACGAAAAGUUCCUCCUCACAUUGCAACCGUUGCACACCAACUCUUCCUGGCAGGUUCUGCUGCUGGACGGGGCCGGCAAGAUGAUGCUGGUGUAGUAAAGGUGGUGCAUAUCUUAUCUUUGAGCUCAGGGUGGAGUCACCUCGUCAGAUCUUGCUACAAAGGCCCUGGAGGCAAAGUGUGCGAAAAUAGUUGGACAACCUCUAGCCGGCAUUCCUCUAUGGCAAUAGGUCCUGAAAGUAGACAUCCAGGAGUUCCAUACACUGUAUUCCCAGGUAAUGUUGGCAGCAGUACAGCGCUGGCUGAACUCGUAAAAUCGUGGGCUCCUGCAAUCAGACUUUCCCCAAGAAAAGAGCUUCUGCGGUUCAGGAUCAUCGAGAUUGGUGUUUUUAAUGGGAUUAAACCUGUAUGAUAGUACAAGGGUUUCGCGUUAUUAAUAGAAUGCGGAAGGAGGUUCUUCUGUCUGUGCAUUUAAUGUUUAUAACUCGGAAGGAGUUGAAGCAGUCGUUGCUGCGGCACAGCAAGAACAGAGUCCUGCUAUAUUACAGGUCCAUCGUGCUGCCUUUAAACAAGGAGAGAUUCCCCUAGUUGCCUGUUGCAUCUCGGCUGCAGAACAGGCUAAUGUUCCGGUCACAGUUCAUUUUGAUCGUGGAACUUCCAAGGAAGAUCUCUCAGGAGCCAUUAAUUUGGUAUAUAACUCUCAACAUUUGCUGUAUUGGCUGGCAUAGGAGGUGAUGCAGUUUGGUGUCGCGAGCUGCAGCCUAUUCUCUUGAAGGAAAGAUAGGUCGAUUAAUUCUCUGUUCACGCCGUCUGUCAUUUGAAUUUUUCCCGGGAUUUCAUUCAAUAAUGGCAGAUGGUUC
This is a long non-coding RNA of Syzygium oleosum, 3354 nucleotides long. RefSeq lists it as uncharacterized. The transcript has 12 exons. The record is from RefSeq and is a predicted model, not a curated record. Lineage: Eukaryota; Viridiplantae; Streptophyta; Magnoliopsida; Myrtales; Myrtaceae.